GCUUCACGGCGUCAGGGAGUAGGGAUGCUUUUAUUAGAUCAAAACCAGUACGCGAGUCGCAAGGCGAGCGUAAACUUUUUGGUGACUCUGGAUAACUUCACGCGGAUCGCACGGCCUUCGAGCCGGCGACGUGUCUUUCAAAUGUCUGCCUUAUCAACUUUCGAUGGUAGGUUACGCGCCUACCAUGGUUGCAACGGGUAACGGGGAAUCGGGGUUCGAUUCCGGAGAGGGAGCCUGAGAAACGGCUACCACAUCCAAGGAAGGCAGCAGGCGCGCAAAUUACCCACUCCCGGCACGGGGAGGUAGUGACGAAAAAUAACGAUACGGGACUCUUCCGAGGCCCCGUGAUUGGAAUGAGUACACUUUAAAUCCUUUAACGAGGACCCAUUGGAGGGCAAGUCUGGUGCCAGCAGCCGCGGUAACUCCAGCUCCAAUAGCGUAUAUUAAAGUUGUUGCGGUUAAAAAGCUCGUAGUCGGAACUAUGUCUUCGGCCGGGUUGGUCGGGGUCUGUCCUUAACUGGGCGCCUCGGCCUGAAGCCUUGCGGUGUGUCGGGUAACACCGGCAUACUGCUUAGCGGUCGGACAUAACCGCCGGAGUGUCGCGGGCUUUAGGCGCGGUCUUAACCGGUCGCGUCUCGAGUCUCGGCACAAUCAAAUCAGCCGGGGUGCUCUUAACCGAGUGUCCCGGUCGGCCGGCAAACGUUUACUUUGAACAAAUUAGAGUGCUCAAAGCAGGCUGAUCUUAGCCCUGAAUAUCGCAGCAUGGAAUGAUGGAAUAGGACCUCGGUCUUAUUUUGCUGGUCUUUUUCUCAUAGACCCGAGGUAAUGGUCAAUAGAGACGGACGGGGGCAUCCGUACUGCGGCGACAGAGGUGAAAUUCUCGGACCGCCGCAAGACGAACGACAGCGAAGGCAUUUGCCAAGAAUGUUUUCCUUGAUCAAGAACGAAAGUUAGAGGUUCGAAGGCGAUCAGAUACCGCCCUAGUUCUAACCAUAAACGAUGCCGACCAGCGAUCCGCCGGUGUUACUCCCAUGACUCGGCGGGCGGCUUCCGGGAAACCAAAGUCUUUGGGUUCCGGGGGAAGUAUGGUUGCAAAGCUGAAACUUAAAGGAAUUGACGGAAGGGCACCACCAGGAGUGGAGCCUGCGGCUUAAUUUGACCCAACACGGGAAACCUCACCAGGCCCGGACACUGGAAUGAUUGACAGAUUGAGAGCUC
This 1218-nucleotide ribosomal RNA is filed under the name metagenome. RNAcentral describes it as "SSU rRNA". It matches the Rfam family "Eukaryotic small subunit ribosomal RNA", at positions 186 to 1257 of the family's 1831-position model. The record is from RNAcentral.